Molecule: signal recognition particle RNA, 98 nt
Filed under: marine eukaryotic metagenome
Description: Bacteroidales small SRP
Rfam family: Bacteroidales small SRP
About the family: The non-coding component of the signal recognition particle in Bacteroides
Source: RNAcentral
GCGGGUUAGUCUUACACGACCAGCUCCCUUCUAAUCCCCCAGGUCAGGAAUGAAGCAAGGGUCGAGGGUUGAGCGGUGCGAUGUAAUUAGCUAACCCG